This 497-nucleotide ribosomal RNA is filed under the name uncultured bacterium. Its description in RNAcentral is "partial 16S ribosomal RNA". It matches the Rfam family "Bacterial small subunit ribosomal RNA", at positions 28 to 507 of the family's 1533-position model. The record is from RNAcentral.
GAUGAACGCUGGCGGCGUGCCUAAUACAUGCAAGUCGAGCGAACAGACGAGGAGCUUGCUCGUCUGACGUUUGCGGCACACGUGUGAGUAACCCGUGCGUAACCUACUUAUACGACUGAGCUAACUUUGGGAACCGGUAGCUACUACCGGAGAAUAUAUUAAACCGCGUGGUACAAUCGUGAAACACGUUAUUGCUGUCACUUAUAGAUGGCUCAGCACCGCAUCAGCUAGUAGGUAAGGUAACGGGUUACCAAGGCGCCCAUGCGUAGCCGACCGGAGAGGGUGGUCGGCUACAUGGGAACGGAGAAAGGGCCCAGACUCCGACGGGAGGCAGCAGUAGGGAAUCUUACGCGAGGGGCGAGUGGCUGACGGAGCAACGCCGCGGGAGUGAUGAAGGUCUUCGGACGGGAAAACGCUGUUAGUAGGGAAGAACAAAUGUGUAAGUAACCAUGCAGGUCUUGACGGUACCUAAUGAGAAAGCCACGGCUAACUACGUG